GUUUGUGAAGGUGAUCUGGCUGUGACAUCUGUCACCCCAUUGAUUGCCAGGGUUGAUCUGGCUGGCUAGGCGGGUGUCCCCUUCCUCCCUCACCGCUCCAUGUGUGUCCCUCCCGAAACUGCGAAACUGCGUGCUCGGUGGAAGAGGAUGAUCUUCCCCGAUAGAGGAGAGGACUGUUCUUCGGUCAAGGGUAUACAAGUAGCUGUGCUCCCCUUUUAUAACCUCCUCUGCUAUAACAAGCUCUUAAGGUCCAUUUGUAGGAGAACAUCGGGUAGUCAAGCUUCCAAGACUCCAGACACAUCCAAAAUGAGGUGCUGCACAUGGCAGUCUGCCUUUCUU
Molecule: small nuclear RNA, 339 nt
Filed under: Mustela putorius furo (domestic ferret)
Lineage: Eukaryota; Metazoa; Chordata; Mammalia; Carnivora; Mustelidae
Description: 7SK RNA (ENSMPUG00000022657.1)
Rfam family: 7SK RNA
About the family: 7SK was discovered as an abundant small nuclear RNA in the mid-70s but a possible function has only recently been suggested. Two independent studies have found that 7SK RNA binds the CDK9/cyclin T complex (known as elongation factor P-TEFb).
Source: Rfam by way of RNAcentral